UCCACCGUGAGGUGGAAUCUGAAGGAAGCCGACGGCAAACUUCUGGUCUGACGAAUAGAAACUACAUAUAAGGCACACAUAUGCUGGGUAAGGUUGCCACACAAACCAAAGCCCUAAACUAUCCGGAAGCAUAAGGUGUAGAUGUAGCAGAUAGAUGGAAGGAAAGAUUGCGUU
This 174-nucleotide non-coding RNA is filed under the name Alkaliphilus peptidifermentans DSM 18978. The record is from RNAcentral. Lineage: Bacteria; Bacillati; Bacillota; Clostridia; Peptostreptococcales; Natronincolaceae.